RNAcentral lists this ribosomal RNA (465 nucleotides) under uncultured Nitrosospira sp. RNAcentral describes it as "bacterial SSU rRNA". It matches the Rfam family "Bacterial small subunit ribosomal RNA", at positions 198 to 644 of the family's 1533-position model. Lineage: Bacteria; Pseudomonadati; Pseudomonadota; Betaproteobacteria; Nitrosomonadales; Nitrosomonadaceae. The record is from RNAcentral.
GGAGGAAAGUAGGGGAUCGCAAGACCUUGCGCUUUUGGAGCGGCCGAUGUCUGAUUAGCUAGUUGGUGAGGUAAAGGCUUACCAAGGCUUCGAUCAGUAGCUGGUCUGAGAGGACGACCAGCCACACUGGGACUGAGACACGGCCCAGACUCCUACGGGAGGCAGCAGUGGGGAAUUUUGGACAAUGGGGGAAACCCUGAUCCAGCCAUGCCGCGUGAGUGAAGAAGGCCUUCGGGUUGUAAAGCUCUUUCAGCCGGAACGAAAAGGUCACGGCUAAUACCCGUGACAAAUGACGGUACCGGAAGAAGAAGCACCGGCUAACUACGUGCCAGCAGCCGCGGUAAUACGUAGGGUGCAAGCGUUAAUCGGAAUUACUGGGCGUAAAGCGUGCGCAGGCGGUUUUGUAAGUCAGAUGUGAAAUCCCCGGGCUUAACCUGGGAACUGCGUUUGAAACUACAAAGCUAG